CUGCUGGGAAGUUUCUUCCCCCUAUUAACCACAUGCCUUUCCUCCUCACCUUCCAGGUCUCUCUUCGAAUGUCACCUUCUCAGGUAGGAUUUCUUGAGUGCUCUAUUUAAAAUUAUAAAUAGAUGCCUCACGCUGGCAUUUCCUGCUUUGCUUUCUUCGAUAGCACUUCCUGCCAUCUGAAAUGCUGCUGUUUUACUUUGAUUGCCUCUCUCCUCUGAAAGACUGGAAGUUCUUCGAGGGCAGUGAUUUUCUUGCAAGGCUAAAUCCUCAGUACCUGAAACAUGCUUCACACUUGGUGAGUUCACCAUAAACAUUUGUUGAAUAAAGGAUGAGUAAAUUUCAAUCCUCUACAUGAAGGUCUUAGUAUUUGAACUAGGCAUACAGUCUUGGGGUGAAAUGUUGGUUCAAACUUGUUUCAAGAAUGCUUUCAUUUUAGUUUUCUAGAAACAAGAAUACUGACCAUGCAAAUUGUAUACAGGUAAUCCAGGGUACAUACAGAUAAUCCAGGGUAAAAGAGACUAGAAGUGACUCUCUCCUGCCUCCAUAGUUAAUUUCUAGAGAGGAAGGCCCUGAGGCAGAAAGCAGGUAGACAACCAGCUUGCACUUGUGUUGGUGGCCUGUCAGCCAGGGUUGAGUUUGACCUGGCCCGAGGCACCCACAGCAGCUGUGGCCAAAAUCAGACUGGGCCAAGAGAAUUUUUCAUGGUUCACCAAGAUCACCUGCUGUGAUAAUCUACCCUGGUAACAUUUUAUAUUUCUGAAAAUUCGCCUUAAUUUAUAUAAGUAACCUAAAUCCAUCAUGCUGUUUUUAAAAUACAUUUUCUAUCCUUCUUGUCUCAGAAAUUAUAGAAACAGAUGUAUACUCUCAUCACAAAAAUAACCUUACAUCAGAUGAAAAUUUUACUAGGUCAUGCCCCCAAAAUUAACAAAGUUACUAACUAUGCAAUUUUUCAUUUUAUAUUAAAUCAUACGAAUAAUUUUCCUAUCUCCCUAAACCCAUUAAAAGUCCAGUACUUUAUAGCAGAGAUGACAUUGAAUGAUUCACAAAUUAAUGAAACCAUUGUUACAGUGCUUUAAAUUUUAGGAACUAGAAUUAUAAAAACCUUAUAAAACCAUGACUCCCCCCAGCCCCUUCAGUAGCACAUGUGUUGCCUGUUUGAAUACUAAACGUGUGAGAAGCCAUUUUAUGAACACUUUGCACUAAAUAACUUUUCUAGGAUGAAUAAGGGUGCCUAGAUAUUUCCACAGAGGCAGAUUAGUGACAUUCAAAUUGUAAUCUUGUUCCUCGAAGCAGAAGUAAGCUUUUCUAUAAAGGACCCAACUUGAAAGGGAAAUUUUGCUGACAGUGAGAGUUUGAGUUUCAGUCCCUAAAGCCAGGGGCAAGUUUUUCAAGAGACCCAUACUGCAAGGCCACAUUGUGGACUAUGUAACUUCAGCUAAUUUCUUGGAAAUCAAUCAAAGCAUAUGGACUAUAUUUUAAUUCUACAGACAUUGCGUUAGGCAGAACAGCUACCAACACCCAAUCCCUGAAAUUUGUGAUUAUGUUUUGAUACAUGGCAAAAGGAACUAUGCAGAUGUAAUUAAGGUUAAGAACUUUAAAAUAGGAAGAUUAAAUCCAAGGAGUUCUUCAAAGUAAAGAACUACUACAUGCAGAAGAUUGGGAAGAAAUAACAGAGAGUGCUUGAAGAAUAGAUGUGGCUAGGACAAUAUCUCUGAAUCUCUGAAUGGCCCAUGGUGGUGACCCCCAGCCAGAGUGAACUGUGCAGCAGCAAUGGUGCCCAGUGGGCAGCAACAGUGGAACAGAAGGUGAGGAAGGGGCCAGAAGGAAUCCUUUAGGAAAUUAAGAAAAGGAUAAAAAUAUGAUAAAAAUGUGGUGUCCAGGCGAGAAACGGAAUAACCUCAUCCCUGUUCUGACUAACAAUUUGGUAAUAUUUUGACAGUUUUGAACAAGAACUUCCUUCUCCUUUUCUUUUGGAGUACACCAUAGUGAAAGACCUAUGGUAAAAAACAAGGUACAACUGGAAUACUGCUUUUUGUUUUUCUAUUUUCAAUAGUAUCUCCUGUUUAUAAUGGAUUGUUUUAAUCUCAGGGAAGAACAUCUGAGGAGAUCACCGGGUCUCUAAAUACCAGUUCUUGUCUCUGCACACCUUUUUUAGGGGGGACUGAUGCCUGGUUAUAUCUGCGGUACACCAGUUCCUAAAGCAAUACCUAAGAAAGUCAAUGUUUCCUAGAUAAACUUGACUUUCAUCAAAUGAUAUUUAGAAUCAGUUUUAAACUUGUAGAGUAUUGCAAUCAAUUAUGAUCAUAUUUUGCAGCAUAUAUCAUGAAGUCCAAAUCAUUUUAGCUUAAAGAAAACAGACGUCUAUUAUUUUUUCACUUAGAGUAAGUCAGGAAGUGUGUAGUCUUAUGUGUUGGCUUUCCAGUGUCAUCAGGGGCCCAGAUUCCUGUCUUUCUGCUCUGCCAUCUCCAAUGUGUGGUUUCUAACCUCAUGAUCCAAAGUGGGUUCUUUUGCUCCAGCCCGCGUAUCAAUGUACCAGGCCAGUAGAAUGAAGAAACUAAGGAGAGCAAAAGGAGGCUCCUUCCUAACUGAGUCAACUUUCUUUAAGCAUUUGUCCUGAAGGUCUCACACAAUAUUUUUGCAUACGUCUCACAGGUCAAAACUUAGUUAUGUGUCCACACAAAAUUUCAGAAGAGGCUGGAAGGUGUUGUCUUUUAGCUGAAUGCAUUAUCAUCCUGGAAUUCAAAUCUGGGUUCUAAUAGUAAGCGAGAAAGAGAGCGUGGUUAUUAAGUGGUGUCAUUUGGCACAGCCUGUCAACAGAGGACAUGUUAAUUGGCAUUCAUACUGAUGUUUUAAUAAAGCAUGUAGUGUGCUUAUGAGGACCAAGAUUGACCAUACUUUGGUCAUCAUCAAUCAUGGACUGAAAGGCUUUUAAACAUGAGGUAUGUACCGCCUAGCAUUCAGUAACAACCCACUUAGUCAUUCCUACCUUAAUUUUAGGUGCAUGAUACCAAAAUGUUAACAUAUUUGAGAAACAGUCCAAGCUAAUUUAAUUUACGUAAGUACAUUUUUAGAUAAGACAAUGAUAAAUUUGAAAAUCAGUUUGGUUUAAUGAUUGGUUAGUUAAAAAUAUAUCAAAUAAAUAACUUUUUCUACCUUAGCAUUUUUAAAAUUCUGGACCUAAAAUUAUUACAUUCUAUUUAGGGCAAGGAUUAGCAAAAUACAGCUUACAGGCCAAGUUUGUCUUGACUUCCUUUUUUGUAAAUAAAGUUUUUUUGAAACACAGUUACUCUCAUAUGGUUACAUAUUGUCAGUGGCUGCUUUCACUCUAUAUCGGCAGAACCGAGUAAUUGUAUUAGAUACCCCCACCACUAAACCCAAUGUGUUUACUAUCUGGAUUCAUACAGACAAUGUUUGCUGACCCCUGGCAUAGGCAAAGCAAAAUACAUGACACAAUGAAUUUCCCUCAUACUUAGAAGUUAGGGCCCACAGAACUCACCUGAAAAGUUGCUUAAUAGUUACUUAAUUAUAUAGCAGAUUAAUCAGUUUUUAACUUGAUUCUGACGUUCCUAAAGAAUGGCAAAUUCCUUCCUAACACAAACUAAACCUUUACCUCCGUGGUUCUCAACUGGGGUCAAUUGUGUCUGCCAGAGACAUCUGGUAAUAUGUAGAGACCUUUUUAGUUGUCACAAGUUGGGGUUGGGAGGUGGCUGCCACUGGCAUUUGAUAGGCAGAGGCCAGGGGUGCUGCCAAACGUCCUACAAUGCACAGGACCGCCACUCAACACAAGGAACUAUCUGGCACAAAAGUCACUAGUGCUAAGACUGAGAAACUCCAUGGUAAGUGAGAACUCCCUAGGACCGAAUAGGUAGUUGUCAAUAACAAAAAGGAGGAAUUACUUUCCUUAAAGGUAAAAAUAAUUGUGGCAUUCGGUAAAAAUAAUUGUGGCAUUCUUUCUUGGUGGUGGAGGUUUUGCUGUACUCCUUCCUUGUUUUUAUUCUCCGAAUGAAAACACCAUUUUUAUCUGAAUUAGUAGCUCAAAGUUUUCCAUUAAUCACCUCAAACGGACUGACACAGUGUUUCACACACAAUGUCACGCAUGCUGUAUGCUAACUCCUGAGUUUUGUUCUGAGGGAGAAAAAUGAAUUCCAUGGCCAAAAGUACUAGAGGAAGAACACUCAUCAUAUCAUCAUCUGGGAGGUUCACUGUUUACCUCCAGGAUAUUAAUGGCACUCAGAAGACUGGUGGUGAAGAAACCUAGGAACUGUAGAAAUGUAAAACCUGAUGAGGCUGCUAUUUGUAGACUAGGUCCAGGGAAGAUGUACUAGGUCAGAGGAGAAGAUAUCAUGGCAGAAUCUUCUAAACAGUUUUUCAUGGAUGACUUAUUCAUACAUGGUCCUCAGACAUGGUCCUCAGAGUGAAAAAUAAAAGAAUUCCUAAGUAAAUGAAUUUGGAGAUUACUACCUUUUACAGAGUUUAACAAGUUCAAUUAUAGCAAAGGCUUUUAACCCUCUUUUUCUGUGUGUGAUAAAUCCCAUUGGCAGUCGCAGAUCUCUUCUCAAAUUAAUGUGAUCAAAUGCAUAAAGCAAAAUGUAUAGGGUAUCAAAUAAAUUGCAUUGAAGUGUAAUUAACAAAACAAAAAUAAACUGGUGAUAUAUGAAUGUAAGCAUCUCUUUAUUAUCACAUUAAAUAAUAAGAUCUAGCAGUAGGUCUACUAACUACCAUACUUUUAAAGUAGUAGUGAGUACAAAUAAUAUUUCAAGACAGCUGCAAUAACGGUGAUGUGAUAUGAAAACAUCUGUCAUUUUUGUUGGGGACAAAGUCACAAGUACUGCCAAUAUUACUACAGCUUGUUGUCUUCAUUCAAACGGAAGAAAAUGCUAAAUUUCAGUGAAGUGAAAACUAAGGUUUAAACCAUCGUAGAGCCUUUAAAAUGUUAUGUUACUUGUGAGUUUCCAGAAGUAAUGGUUGUGGGACUUGUUUGAACUUAUUUGAACAUAGAAACUUUAAUAUAUUUUGAAAAGAUAAUUUCACAUGCCAUGUGGGAAAUGUUGCCUUGAGCUAGUGCUGUACGCCUGAAAGCUUCUAAUGUAAUGAUGCAGUAUUGCAUUUAUAAUCAUUGUUUUAAGCUAGCGUUUUCAAAUCCAGUUCAGCUCCAUGAUAACAGCUGUUGUUUUCUUUACCGAUGUAUUUCACUUUCAGAUAUGAUUUUUUAAAAAUUUCUUUGAACUUCAUACUUUUCUUAGCAAAUAUCUCCAUUUAAAUUCUCAGAAUGAAAAUAAAAAUGAGUUGUCUCACACCUCUACACUUAGAAAAUCUAGGCUGCCUGUGGCCCUUUGCCCUAACACGUGACUCCUGUAUCAUGUAUGUAUAACUCCCUUCUAAUUAAGCAACCUCAUUCAUCAAGAAAGCCCUGCAGCGAUAAGGUAAUUUUUGCCACAGGAAUGUGACACUACCAUGUGCCAGUUGCUGAAAUAGUUGCACAGAUUUUAGUGAAAUGCAAGAGAUAAGUGAGUAAGAAAGUGAAAAUUGUCAGCCCAUAAAUUACUGCUGCCCUCAGUCUACAGUAAUUACAGCAAAGCUGUAGAUAACUGUCCCUCUGAUGAACUCUAGCAAAAUGGUCUUUUAAGUUUAUCAGCAUAUUCAGGUACAACUCUCUCAGGAGGCUUGGCCUCUUCUAAAUGAUCAAAUAUUCUGAGGGUGGGUGGCAGAAGGACAAAAGAUGAGGAAAAAGGAAAGAGAAACAUUAUUUACAUCAAUUAAAGUAAUUUUUAAGUUUAUUCUUUUAAAAUUAUCUAGUAGAAGCCUUCUUUCUCACUUAUGAUUCCUUUAAAUGACACUUGCUAUUUUAAUGACUAUUAAAAUAGUCAUUAAAAUAUUAAGUACUAAAUGGUACUUGCUAUUUUUAUUAAUGGAUGCCGAAAGCAGUCAGGGAGCUAAUUAUUAUAUUGUGAAAGUAAAAAUAUAUAUGAGGCUCAUGUAAAACAGU
RNAcentral lists this long non-coding RNA (5986 nucleotides) under Homo sapiens (human). Its description in RNAcentral is "HSALNT0339305". The record is from RNAcentral. Lineage: Eukaryota; Metazoa; Chordata; Mammalia; Primates; Hominidae.